CCUACGGGAGGCAGCAGUGGGGAAUAUUGCACAAUGGGGGAAACCCUGAUGCAGCGACGCCGCGUGAGUGAAGAAGUAUUUCGGUAUGUAAAGCUCUAUCAGCAGGGAAGAAAAUGACGGUACCUGAUUAAGAAGCCCCGGCUAACUACGUGCCAGCAGCCGCGGUAAUACGUAGGGGGCAAGCGUUAUCCGGAUUUACUGGGUGUAAGGGGAGCGUAGACGGCAGCACAAGUCUGGAGUGAAAUGCCGGGGCUUAACCCCGGAACUGCUUUGGAAACUGUGUAGCUAGAGUGCAGGAGAGGUAAGUGGAAUUCCUAGUGUAGCGGUGAAAUGCGUAGAUAUUAGGAGGAACACCAGUGGCGAAGGCGGCUUACUGGACUGUAACUGACGUUGAGGCUCGAAAGCGUGGGGAGCAAACAGGAUUAGAUACCCCAGUAGUC
This 440-nucleotide ribosomal RNA is filed under the name uncultured bacterium. Its description in RNAcentral is "partial 16S ribosomal RNA". It matches the Rfam family "Bacterial small subunit ribosomal RNA", at positions 338 to 795 of the family's 1533-position model. The record is from RNAcentral.